AGAUGAUCAGGUUGAUAGGUCUGAGGUGGAAGUGUGGCGACACAUGGAGCUGACAGAUACUAAUCGAUCGAGGACUUAACCAAAUU
RNAcentral lists this ribosomal RNA (86 nucleotides) under Bacillus subtilis. RNAcentral's name for it is "partial 23S ribosomal RNA". It matches the Rfam family "Bacterial large subunit ribosomal RNA", at positions 2842 to 2925 of the family's 2925-position model. Lineage: Bacteria; Bacillati; Bacillota; Bacilli; Caryophanales; Bacillaceae. RNAcentral also lists the same sequence under 1 other name. The record is from RNAcentral.